RNAcentral lists this unclassified non-coding RNA (200 nucleotides) under Piloderma sp. IBPW4RE02J2KTK/438. Its description in RNAcentral is "sequence contains ITS2". The record is from RNAcentral. Lineage: Eukaryota; Fungi; Basidiomycota; Agaricomycetes; Atheliales; Atheliaceae.
UUAAGUUCAGCGGGUAGUCCUACCUGAUUUGAGGUCAAAUUUGAUAUGAAGUUGUCCGAAGACCAUUAUGAGCGGGGCCUUUCGAGAAGUCGGUCGACAGCGCAACGUGAUUAUCACACUGACGUCCGAAACGUUAGAUUCCGCUGAUGCAUUUGAGAGGAGCCGACCGACGCCAGCACACUCCAAAGUCCAAGCUCCGA